GACGAACGCUGGCGGCGUGCCUAAUACAUGCAAGUAGAACGCUGAAGAGAGGAGCUUGCUCUUCUUGGAUGAGUUGCGAACGGGUGAGUAACGCGUAGGUAACCUGCCUUGUAGCGGGGGAUAACUAUUGGAAACGAUAGCUAAUACCGCAUAACAAUGGAUGACUCAUGUCAUUUAUUUGAAAGGGGCAAAUGCUCCACUACAAGAUGGACCUGCGUUGUAUUAGCUAGUAGGUGAGGUAACGGCUCACCUAGGCGACGAUACAUAGCCGACCUGAGAGGGUGAUCGGCCACACUGGGACUGAGACACGGCCCAGACUCCUACGGGAGGCAGCAGUAGGGAAUCUUCGGCAAUGGGGGCAACCCUGACCGAGCAACGCCGCGUGAGUGAAGAAGGUUUUCGGAUCGUAAAGCUCUGUUGUAAGUCAAGAACGAGUGUGAGAGUGGAAAGUUCACACUG
RNAcentral lists this ribosomal RNA (459 nucleotides) under Streptococcus salivarius. Its description in RNAcentral is "bacterial SSU rRNA". It matches the Rfam family "Bacterial small subunit ribosomal RNA", at positions 28 to 471 of the family's 1533-position model. The record is from RNAcentral. Lineage: Bacteria; Bacillati; Bacillota; Bacilli; Lactobacillales; Streptococcaceae.